This 71-nucleotide transfer RNA is filed under the name Loxodonta africana (African savanna elephant). It matches the Rfam family "tRNA". Rfam says of the family: Transfer RNA (tRNA) molecules are approximately 80 nucleotides in length. Their secondary structure includes four short double-helical elements and three loops (D, anti-codon, and T loops). Lineage: Eukaryota; Metazoa; Chordata; Mammalia; Proboscidea; Elephantidae. The record is from Rfam by way of RNAcentral.
GCAGUGGUGGUUCUGCGGUAGAAUUCUCAACUUCCAUGUGGGAGACCAGGGUUCGAUUCCCAGCCAAAGCA